RNAcentral lists this non-coding RNA (30 nucleotides) under Mus musculus (house mouse). The record is from RNAcentral. Lineage: Eukaryota; Metazoa; Chordata; Mammalia; Rodentia; Muridae.
UGAGACUUCAGGUCAACUCCACGCGCUUGU